This 595-nucleotide long non-coding RNA is filed under the name Rattus norvegicus (Norway rat). RNAcentral describes it as "long non-coding RNA NONRATT000517". Lineage: Eukaryota; Metazoa; Chordata; Mammalia; Rodentia; Muridae. The record is from RNAcentral.
CACAGACUGUUCUUCCAGAGGUCCUGAGUUCAAUUCCCAGCAACCACAUGGUGGCUCACAACCAUCUGUAAUGGGAUCUGAUGCUCUCUUCUGGUGUCUGAAGACAGCUACAGUGUACUUGUAUAUGAUAAAUAAAUCUUUUUUUUUUUUUUUCGGAGCUGGGGACCGAACCCAGGGCCUUGCGCUUCCUAGGUAAGCGCUCUACCACUGAGCUAAAUCCCCAGCCCCUAAAUAAAUCUUAAAAAAAAAAAAGAAAUAUAGACUAUGUGAAAUGAUGUUAAAGUCAUAGCUGGGAGCUGGGUGUGGUGAUGCACUGUUAUAACCCCAGCCCUUGGAGAAAGGAGAACAGGAGUUCAAGGGUAUCCUUGGCUACAUAACCAGGUUGAAGCCAGCCUGGGCUACAUGAGACCCUAUCUCAAAACUAACCAACAAACAGAGGAUAGAGGAUAUGGGAGAAUUCUUGCUUACUGUGUAGGAUGCACUGCAGGCAGGGGGAGGGUCCCAACUCUUAUAGCCACAAAUCCAAGCACAGAGAAUCAGACAUAGAGACACCUAACCCAGAAGCAAUAGCUAGAGGACAGGGACAGGAUCAUUC